CCUCGGGGGGCAGCAAUUAGGAAUCUUGCGCAAUGGGGGCAACCCUGACGCAGCGACACAGUGUGGAGGAGGAAGGUAUUAGGAUUGUAAACUCCUUUUAUGAGGGAAGAAUAGAUGACGGUACCUCAUGAAUAAGCACCUGCUAACUACGUGCCAGAAGCAUCGGUGAUGCGUAGGGUGCGAACGUUAUCCGGAUUUAUUGGGCGUAUAGAGAAGCGUAGGUGUGUUUGUAAGUCUUUAGUUAAAUACCACGGCUCAACCGUGGAGAAGCUUUGGAAACUACAGAAAUUGAGAAAGGAAUGGGCGAAUGGAAUUCCCAGUGGAGCGGUGAAAUGCGUUGAUAUUGGGAGGAACAUCAGUGGCGAAGGCGAUUCGCUGGUCCUUGUCUGACACUAAGGCUCGAAAGCGUGGGGAGCGAAAC
RNAcentral lists this ribosomal RNA (421 nucleotides) under uncultured prokaryote. Its description in RNAcentral is "bacterial SSU rRNA". It matches the Rfam family "Bacterial small subunit ribosomal RNA", at positions 339 to 774 of the family's 1533-position model. The record is from RNAcentral.